GGAGAAGUACCCAAGAGGCUGAAGGGACACCCCUGGAAAGGGUGCAGGUCGGUAACACGGCGCGAGGGUUCAAAUCCCUCCUUCUCCG
RNAcentral lists this transfer RNA (88 nucleotides) under Lachnospira pectinoschiza. RNAcentral's name for it is "tRNA-Ser". It matches the Rfam family "tRNA". Rfam says of the family: Transfer RNA (tRNA) molecules are approximately 80 nucleotides in length. Their secondary structure includes four short double-helical elements and three loops (D, anti-codon, and T loops). Lineage: Bacteria; Bacillati; Bacillota; Clostridia; Lachnospirales; Lachnospiraceae. RNAcentral also lists the same sequence under 3 other names. The record is from RNAcentral.